CUGGGAAGGCAGGAAACUGGGCUCGAGCUGCUCUGGACUGCUGUGGGGAUGGGUUUGAAGUUUUGGGAUCGCUUGUUUCUGUCCCUACCUUCCCAUUGAAAACAAUAACUUAAGAAGUCCUCGUCUGGACUGCAGGAACCACAAAGCCUGAAGUUCCCGAAGCAGCAAGAGCAGCGACAGCAAUGGCAAAGCUGCUGAGCAGGAGAAACCAAAGCGCUUAAAGGAACUUGCUGAGAAUCAAGAAGCCAGACUUCAGCAAGUGACAGCCCUGAAAGGCCACGUGGAGCAGAAAAAACUCAGCGUUGGGAAAUGAGCGGAGGAGGGGGACCAGCUGAAGAGCCUGUUGCAGCCGAAGCGGCGCGAGCUGGCACUGGAUGUGCCGAAAGCAGAGGAACUGCCUGGGCUGCCAGAGAUGCUGAGGAAGGGCUGACGAAUUGGUGGUUACCACGACAACCUGUCACCUGUAGCUGAGCUCCACCCACUGUGUGUCCAAGGAGCUGCAGCUGAGGAACAAAGUGAAGCAGGAGCAGAAUGCCAGGCUGCAGCACCAGAGGGAGCAUUGGAAGGAGCGCAGCUUGGAGGUGGCAGUGCUGGAGAAGCGUGUUAGUGAGCUGCCAGAGCGCCUGGGGAAGAGAAAGGCAGCUCUGUCCCAGGGAGAGAAUGUACCGGGUUUCUUCAGAUGGGAAUUCACCACAGCCGGUGGCUUCUGCUCCAAGGGGAGUGGCAGCAGUAGGUCCUUCUAUCCAGUCCUCUACUAUGCCACGUAUUGCUUCCAGACCUGAACUUUAGGUGAAAGCAGCAUUCUCAGGUGGGACAUGAGUCUUGCCAGGCAGCUGAGGGUCUGCUAAAAUUACAAACUCUGCCCAACGUGGGAGCUGGGAACCGUUCACAAGCUAAAGCUCCUGCAGCUCUCCUAAAAACUAUACACCAGUGUGCGUUUGAGUUUCUAGAGUCAGUUUUGGGUCAUACCUGGUAACAACCUGGUGCCUGGAUUUAACAACUAGCAAAGCCAAGUUUUGUGAUCAUGCAUUUUGGAAAUGACACGUGUAAAGGAUUUACCAUUAGCAUUGCAGGAAAUAUUGGAGGAGGCAGCUGAUCGUAGCACAGAAAUAGCAAUAAAGUUACUGACUUGCUGCUGACUGAGGCUUGGCCUCUGCUACUUGGAGAGUUAAUGGAGAUUUGCUUGGCUUCUCCAUGGGUUUCUUCUAAGAGAGACAGUUCAGUUCCAUGAGAGAGAAGUGUGGAGAAAACUAGAGACUGUGCUCUUUUGGGAAAAGACUCACUUUUCACCUGGGAGGGAAGAGAAACUCUGAUUUUUCUCAAAAGAAAAAAUAGAGAGUGAGCUCGUUGUCGGCGGACAGAAAUUGCGUCAACAAUUUCUAUUGCAUUUCUGAGACCUUCACCUUGGCAUGGCUGGGUGCAGACAGUAAAAAAAUACUGCGCCACUAAUAUGGCUGCAGGCCUUGUGCCAAGGUGAAGGAGGAGUUGUUCUGGCAGGAAAACAAGUUUUAUGGACACCUGCUGUUAUCCAAUUAGUACUGUAUACCACAGUAUGUUUUCCUUAUGUAUCCAAUGUAACCUGGGGAAGAAUCACAUGUCUGUGUGUCACAGGCAGCAUAUAAGCUGUCUGUCCUCUAAUAAAGCGGACAUUUUUGCCAAUCAUAUUGAUUUGUGUGCAUUUCUGUCUGACCCCCUCCGUCGAUAUCUGGAGCCCGUUUAACAGGGAGUCCUACUUCGUCGAGUUCUGCAGGGACGUAAAGGCGAACGGAAGGAGCUGAGGGAAGCGGUCGUGGGAGGUGAUGCUGUCCCCGGCAUCACAGAACAAAGCCAUGCGCAUGGUACAGAGGAAUCUCACCCUGGCCCGGUGAGUCGACCGAGGGAGAGAGCAAGGGGCCCACGGCAUCCAAAGAGGAUGAGGCUGUGGAAACGCUCCUCCAAUAUAUAAUCUCUCUAGGAGAGCCUGUUUCUGAUGAAAAAGCCCCUAAGGGGUUAAUAGCGUGGGUGAGAGCGAAGAAUCUACUUCCCACUGCUCACACCGCCUUUCAGGUGUCCACAAGGGACGCUAUAAAGGAAUUGUUUUGGGACGGGAUCUCUACGGGAUCAGGAGACGCUAGAAAGUGUACUCUGGUCUGGCGUCUGGCAGUUGAGUCGCUACAAGAGUUAAGUUCUGAGCGACGGGACCUCAUAAAUGUUCAAACAGCUCUGUCGGGGAAUGGCGGGACUGUGGCGGGUCCCCGCCCCGAUCGGUCCGCUGUAGGGGAGAUCCCCGUGCUCGCGGCUGCGAAGUUGCGAAUGCUAGGACCCUUACAAGCAGCGGUAUCACCUCCGUUUGGCACCGUGUAUGUGGCAGCAGAAAGUGUAGAGGCUGCAGGGAAAUAAGUAGCGGCGGAAACUAACGCUGGAGCCGUGCCAACGGCACCGCUCUCUACUGCGGCUGCGCAGUCGGCAGUGUCGCUCCUCACUGUGCCCGCUACUGCGCAUGUGUCAACUGGACCGACGCUGCUGGGAGCCUCCGCGUCCCGAGAUGGCGCUGCAUCGCUGGCGCCUGAAGCCACCAUGGAACCCGGAAGACAGCCACUGUGAAUCGCUGCCAUGGCAACAGACGCUGUUUAAGGGGAAAAAAAAAAUUAAAACCACACCGUUUCCAGGUUCUGUGGUCGCCUGUGCAAAACCUUCCCCAUCUGCCCCUGACUGGAGUAGUUCAAAUGCAGACAAUCAUAUUGGUCACAGGGAUCAGCCUUGACUUCAGGAAAAGGAAUUGCGACUAGUGAAGGACAAGAUCAUCUGUGACCUGGAAGGGAGGAAAGGCUCCAAGAGAAUGGCUUUUGCCUUGAGACAGAGAAAUGAAGGGUUGGGCUCUGAUCAGAGAUGUUUGGCAGAGAUGAUGGUCAGUCCUUCCUCCUGAGAGAGCCUCACCUGCUCUCCCAGCUCGGAGACCUGUGCCUAUGAGAAAACAAGCCGUGCAAACCCUAACUGUGUCAACAAUACAAACCCGUCCAGCUGUCGUUGAUCUGCACAGCCAGAGAACUUCCUCCCUGAGGACACUGCUGUCAGAGCUGUGAGAUCAGAGCAGGAGGGUCAGGCCUGGCCUGAGCAGCCAGAUGGGUCCCCCAGCCCCCUGCAACCUCCCCCACAGUGUUGCCCUGGUUUGACCCAAUGGCUGCAUGUCCCCCAAAGUACAGCAGGACCCAGGGAAAGGGUGUGUGGAGCAGCUGUGCAGCAAUGAGGGACAGAGCUGCUUUGGGGAGGGCAGGAGGAUGAUUGCUUCCUCCAGCUCCCAUGGACCUCUGAGCAAAGGGGGCGAUUUCCAACCCCUCUGAGGGAUUUAUAUUGUGGGACCUGAUAUAUGCUGGAGCCCUUUUGAGAGCAAGAGGUAUCCACCUGGAACCACAAACCCACCCAAAAUUGCAUUGGGGAGGUGUCAAACAGGAGACAAGGGAGAUUCAGGAUGGAGCCACGUGGGUGGGAAGGUUUUCACCCAGCACAGACUCUGCAGGUGGGAACGUGGACAGGGGCACGGGGCUGAGCUGGGUUGCUGCCCCUCUGACCAAACCCCUCUGUGCCCCAGGGUGCAGGUGCCGGUGUGAUGGCCCAGGACAUCUGCAGCUCCCCAGGGGAUGGUGAGUACCGGGAUAGGUCCAUAAAUGGAGCUGUGGGUGACUGGAAAUGGGAAGAAAUAGGGGCUUUGUGUAGACGGCAAAAUUGGGUGAACAAUUUGUCCUGCAUUUUGAGGGCCUUGCCUUGGCAUAGCUAAAGCACAAACAGCAAAAGAAGCUGCGUAGCUAACAUGGCUACAGGCUCUGAAGUUAGAACUUCAGAGAAGAAGGCUCCCUGCCAAGAUCAAGGAGGAGUCUUAGAAAGCUAAACAAGUUUUUUCAUCUCUUAUGGACACCUGCAAUGCUCCAAUUAACACCGGACAACAAAGUAUGUUUCUCUUAUGUGUCCAAUGCUGUGUGUAGCAGCAGUAUAUAAUAAACCUUCUUCUUCUAAUAAACGGACAUUUUGCCGACCAUAUUGGCCUGUGAGCAGUCUGUUCCGAGCCCCUCCACCGCUAACUGGUGCCCGUGAAACAGGGACUCCUCGUUUGCCGUUCUGAGGGAUGAAAGGCGAACGCAAAGGAAGCUGAGGGAAGCAGUUGAAGAAGCAGCGCUGUCCCUGGCGCUAAGAAUUCUAAAACUGUGCGCGGCGAAGCGGAAUCUCGCCUUGGCCAGGUGAGCGACUGGAGGAGGGGCAUAGGACCCACGCUUUCAAAAGAAGAAGAGGCGGUGGAAAAGCUCCUCCAAUUUAUAAUCUCUCUAAGAGAGCCUAAUUAUGAUACCAGUGCCCUUAAAAGGCUACUCGAGUGGGUGAGAGCAAAGCAACUAAUCCCCACAGCUCAAGCUGCCUUUGAGGUGUCCUCAUGGGACACUAUAAAGGAACAGUUACGGGAAGAGAUCUCUAAGGGAUCAAAAGAUGCUAAAAAAUAUCCUACGCUUUGGCAUCUGAUAGUUAUAACGCUAUGCACUGAGCAUCUGCGGCUGCAAAGGCGGCUGCAAAGGUGACUUUCCAGGGAGACGGCGAGAUCGCGGUGCAAACGUGCGUAGAACGGUUUGUUUUUGGGGAGGUCUUGGCGCCUGCACCUGCAAAGACGCGAAUGCUAAAAGUCUUAAAAGCCGCAGGCUUGUCUCGGUUCAGCAGCGCGCCAGCGCUGGCAGAAAAAGCAGAGACCGUGGAGAACAAAGCUGGCGCUGUGCCAACGGCACCGCCCUCUACUGCGCCUGUGCAGGCAAUACUGCCACCUUCUACUGAGCCUGUGCAGUCAGUGGCGCCACUCCCCACUGCCACUGUGCAGGCGCCGCCCGGAACAGUGCUGCCAGGAGCCUCCGCGUCACCAGGGGGUGCUGCAUCACUACUGCCUGGAACUGCCAUGUCGCACGGAUUUGCGUCAUCAGGAGCCGUCGCACCUGAACCCGGAAGAAAGCCUGCGAGAAUCGCUGUUGUAGCGACUGGAGGUAUUCUGAAAAAAGCUGCCACUACGCCGGCGGGAGCCGCCAUCAUUCCAGCAGGGGCAGGAGCUACCGCAGGAGGUAUAAAUAUUACAGAUGGAUCUCUGCCAAUUAAAUCACAAAUUCUCCGUCGCCCUUUCAUGACAAGCUGUGCAAACAAUUCAGGUUGUGUCAUGAUUGUCUUUUUGGGUUGAUAUGGUAAGAAUACCCAUUCCAAAAUUCUUAUGCUGGUUGCGAUUUGACAGAUGAUGCCCAAUGGAUGCUUCCUGCUCUCUCCAGAAUUGACAAGUAGGUACUGCACUGGCUGGUCCUCUGUUAUUCGACAGGCAUAUCCUGCAGCUAUCUUUCCGGAGAUGUUAACUAUAGCUGCCUUUUGGUCUUCUGACAAUUCUCUUGGAAGUCCUACCUGAGCAACUGACCCUAGC
Molecule: long non-coding RNA, 5410 nt
Organism: Lepidothrix coronata (blue-crowned manakin)
Lineage: Eukaryota; Metazoa; Chordata; Aves; Passeriformes; Pipridae
Exons: 7
Source: RefSeq, a predicted model, not a curated record